RNA transcript from Pocillopora verrucosa, 1725 nucleotides. It is a transcript of the gene named RNA-binding protein 4B, with no coding region annotated. NCBI's taxonomy places the organism in Eukaryota, Metazoa, Cnidaria, Anthozoa, Scleractinia, Pocilloporidae. The record is from RefSeq and is a predicted model, not a curated record.
GGCUUGGUUCCAUCACAUGUUGUCUACCAUAUUGUCGUUCUUCAUCUAAAGUAUAUGUUCUCGAGAUAUGGCCAGUGAAGAAAGCACAAAUAAUGAUGCUGCGGAGGUCAGUAAUGAACAGAAAGAUGAGAAGACAGAAGAUAACGAAGCUACGACGUCGGAACCCAAAGAAGAUAGCAAUGACACCCAAACCACCGGAAAAGAUAGUAACGAAGACGAGAAAGAAGUGAAGUUGUAUGUUGGAAAUCUUCCAGACCGCUGCAGACGAGCGUCUCUGCAGGAAUUGUUUGAAAAAUACGGAAAGGUUUCACAAUGCGAUAUAGUAAAGAAUUUUGCAUUUGUGCACAUGGUGGGUGAAAAAGGUGCAGAAGAGGCUGUUAAUAAAUUAGAUGAUUCAGAAUUUUCAGGAACUCACAUACAAGUACAAUAUGCAAAAAGUAAAGGGAAGCCAUCUGAGGAUGAGUGCUUUCAGUGUGGUAAACAUGGACAUUGGGCAAGGGAUUGUCCAAAGAGGCGAAGUACGUACAGGUAUGAUGAUCGCCGGGACAGAUACGACUAUCGUGGAUACGAUUAUGGACCUCCCAGAAGAGGACCAUAUGACCGGCCCCCACCAAGAGGGUAUUAUGACCCCUAUAUGGAUAGACGCCCUCCCCCUAGCAGAGAUUAUUAUAGUGGUUAUGGUAAUUAUUACAGAGGUCGCAGCCCUCCAAGGUCCCCUCCAAGAUAUACUGGAGCUUAUGAAGGUUACCCAACACCUCGCGAUGGGUAUGGAACUCGCAGAUAGUUUCUUUGAAGCACAGUUGACAGACUAAGAAAUUCAUGGCCAUCCAGUCAUCAUCUGAUCCAUUGGCGGAAUUGUUACCUAACCAUUAGUGAUGCUGGUUCAGCCUCUGAGAUGUGGGAUAGAGUAUCACUCUGUCGUAACUAGAAUGGUCGAGAUUUCGAAGAGGCGUUUUCCCUCACAGCAUUUCCCUCUAGUUUUCAUAGUCUAUUAUGGGAAUUAAGCAGUGGACGUUCCACAAGGGGAAAGUGGAUUCCAGCGAAUCGAACACGAGCCACAGCGGUGAGAGGCGAGCGCUCUAACCUCUGCGCCAUCCGCGCUCCCCGAGUCUCUUUUAUGUCUCCUAGUGGCUUACUUUCUACAAAUCUCUUUCCACUUGACUACUAGUAAAUCCCACUUUAAAGCGCAGAAAGUUGGAAUGGACAAAUAAUUUUAAUCAUUUAAAAACGCUGCCAAUAAAAGAAAACAUAAACGAAAGCGUGCGAAAAUAUUACAAGCUCAAGCUGGUGGCUUUUCUCCCUCGCCUUAGGUCUUUCACUGACUAGAUCAAUGAGAGAUUCGGCGUAAGUAAGACGGCAUGUUGCAUGACUUUCAAACAAAUAUGCACGAACAAUUUUUUUAUUCUGAUUACAUAACUGGGUACAGUCGACUCCUGUAAUUGCGGACACCCUCCGGAGGGAGAGUUAGUGUUCGUAAUAACGUGAGUCCGUAAUAGUGGGGUACGAGAGAAAACAAAUUGUUUUACUCCGGACAUAUGAAGUAAUAUGUACCUACACAAACAUUAAACUUCUAACGUGACCUCGCGAACGGGAAAAAGAUGCGACCGCAAGAAGGAGAUUCUUUUGACCUAUUAAAGAAUGGUUUCUUUAUUUUCCUUUAUUGUAAUGUAGCUUUAUAUUAUGUGAGUCGGGAUCUUUGACGAAGUACUGAAGUGUCCGCUAUAG